GCCAAAAACCUAGCCCCCCACACACCAAAUGAACCCCCUUUCACCUCAUUUUAUAAACUAAAACAUUUUAUAACUUUAGUAAAGGAGAUUAAAAAAGUAAUAGGAGCUAUAUAAAUAGUACCGCAAGGGAAAGGUGAAAUAAAAAUGAAAUAAAUAUUAAGCACAAAAUAGUAAAGACUAAAUCUUGUACCUUUUGCAUCAUGGUUUAACAAGUUCAAUCAAGCACAAAGAAUUUUAGUUUGACUUCCCGAAACUAAGUGAGCUACUUCAGGGCAGCUUAUUGAGCGAACCCGUCUCUGUUGCAAAAGAGUGGGAAGACCCUCAAGUAGCGGUGACAGACCUAACGAACUUAGUGAUAGCUGGUUACUCAAGAAAAGGAUUUUAGUCCAGCCUAAAGUCUUCACAGUUUAACAAAACAUAAUUUUGACUUUAGAGUAAUUCAAAUAAGGUACAGCCUAUUUGAAAAAGGAUACAACCUAAACUAAUGGGUUAGACCCCAAAUUCAUAAUUAAGUGGGCCUAAAAGCAGCCACCUUUAAAAUAGCGUCAAAGCUUCAUUAUAUAAUUUAUGUUAAUUUCAUAAAACAACUCAAACCCUUUAACCCUAUUGAGUAAUUCUAUAUCUAUAUAGAACAUAUAAUGUUAAAACUAGUAACAAGAAGAAAACCCUUCUCUUAAAUGCAAAUGUAAAUCAGCAAGGACAGACCACUGAUAAUUAACACUAAUGAAAUUAUAUUAGCAACCUCGCAAGAAAACCCUAAUAAAUUACGUGUUAACCUAACACAAGAGCAUUUCAAGAAAGAUUAAAAGAAAAAGAAGGAACUCGGCAAAUAUUAACCUCGCCUGUUUACCAAAAACAUCGCCUCUUGAAAACCUAUAAGAGGUCCAGCCUGCCCAGUGACUCUGUUCAACGGCCGCGGUAUCCUAACCGUGCGAAGGUAGCGUAAUCACUUGUUCUUUAAAUGAGGACUUGUAUGAAUGGCACCACGAGGGUUAUACUGUCUCCUUUUUCCAAUCAGUGAAACUAAUCUCCCCGUGAAGAAGCGGGGAUAAGAAUAUAAGACGAGAAGACCCUAUGGAGCUUUAAACUUAACAGCAAGAACUUCUAUUUUUUUAACUUUCAGAACACAAAUCUCUAUUUUAGUACUAUGACUGUAAGUUUUAGGUUGGGGUGACCGCGGAGUAAAAACUAACCUCCACAUUGAACGGGAACUCUCCCUGAGCCAAGAGCCACGACUCUAAGCACCAACAAACUGACAUUAAUUGACCCAAUAUUUUGAUCAACGAACCAAGUUACCCUAGGGAUAACAGCGCAAUCCACUUCAAGAGCUCAUAUCGACAAGUGGGUUUACGACCUCGAUGUUGGAUCAGGGUAUCCCAGUGGUGCAGCCGCUACUAACGGUUCGUUUGUUCAACGAUUAAAACCCU
RNAcentral lists this ribosomal RNA (1427 nucleotides) under Osteopilus dominicensis (Dominican treefrog). RNAcentral's name for it is "partial 16S ribosomal RNA". It matches the Rfam family "Bacterial large subunit ribosomal RNA", at positions 147 to 2597 of the family's 2925-position model. Lineage: Eukaryota; Metazoa; Chordata; Amphibia; Anura; Hylidae. The record is from RNAcentral.